GAUGAACGCUAGCGGCAGGCCUAACACAUGCAAGUCGAGGGGCAGCACAGAAACAGCAAUGUUUUGGUGGCGACCGGCGGACGGGUGCGUAACGCGUAUGCAACCUACCUUUAACAGGGGGAUAACGGAGAGAAAUAUCCACUAAUACCCCAUAACAUCGAUCAAGGCAUCUUGAUUGGUUGAAAACUCCGGUGGUGAAAGAUGGGCAUGCGUUGUAUUAGGUAGUUGGUGAGGUAAUGGCUCACCAAGCCUACGAUACAUAGGGGGACUGAGAGGUGAGCACCCCACACUGGUACUGAGACACGGACCAGACUCCUACGGGAGGCAGCAGUGAGGAAUAUUGGUCAAUGGGGGCAACCCUGAACCAGCCAUGCCGCGUGCAGGAAGACGGCUCUAUGAGUUGUAAACUGCUUUUAAACAGGGAUAAAGCACAGUAUGUAUACUGUGUUGAAGGUACUGUAGGAAUAAGGAUCGGCUAACUCCGUGCCAGCCGCCGCAGUAA
Molecule: ribosomal RNA, 502 nt
Filed under: uncultured bacterium
Lineage: Bacteria
Description: partial 16S ribosomal RNA
Rfam family: Bacterial small subunit ribosomal RNA
Source: RNAcentral